This 1163-nucleotide ribosomal RNA is filed under the name Proteus mirabilis. RNAcentral describes it as "partial 23S ribosomal RNA". It matches the Rfam family "Bacterial large subunit ribosomal RNA", at positions 1770 to 2925 of the family's 2925-position model. The record is from RNAcentral. Lineage: Bacteria; Pseudomonadati; Pseudomonadota; Gammaproteobacteria; Enterobacterales; Morganellaceae.
AAGCCAGUCGAAGAUACCAGCUGGCUGCAACUGUUUAUUAAAAACACAGCACUGUGCAAACACGAAAGUGGACGUAUACGGUGUGACGCCUGCCCGGUGCUGGAAGGUUAAUUGAUGGGGUCAGCCGUAAGGCGAAGCUCCUGAUCGAAGCCCCAGUAAACGGCGGCCGUAACUAUAACGGUCCUAAGGUAGCGAAAUUCCUUGUCGGGUAAGUUCCGACCUGCACGAAUGGCGUAAUGAUGGCCAGGCUGUCUCCACCCGAGACUCAGUGAAAUUGAACUCGCUGUGAAGAUGCAGUGUACCCGCGGCAAGACGGAAAGACCCCGUGAACCUUUACUAUAGCUUGACACUGAACAUUGAGCCUUGAUGUGUAGGAUAGGUGGGAGGCUUUGAAGUGUGGACGCCAGUCUGCAUGGAGCCAACCUUGAAAUACCACCCUUUAACGUUUGAUGUUCUAACCUAGGCCCAUAAACUGGGUCGGGGACCGUGUCUGGUGGGUAGUUUGACUGGGGCGGUCUCCUCCUAAAGAGUAACGGAGGAGCACGAAGGUUGGCUAAGCAUGGUCGGACAUCAUGCGGUUAGUGCAAAGGCAUAAGCCAGCUUGACUGCGAGAGUGACGGCUCGAGCAGGUACGAAAGUAGGUCUUAGUGAUCCGGUGGUUCUGAAUGGAAGGGCCAUCGCUCAACGGAUAAAAGGUACUCCGGGGAUAACAGGCUGAUACCGCCCAAGAGUUCAUAUCGACGGCGGUGUUUGGCACCUCGAUGUCGGCUCAUCACAUCCUGGGGCUGAAGUAGGUCCCAAGGGUAUGGCUGUUCGCCAUUUAAAGUGGUACGCGAGCUGGGUUUAGAACGUCGUGAGACAGUUCGGUCCCUAUCUGCCGUGGGCGUUGGAAGAUUGAGAGGGGUUGCUCCUAGUACGAGAGGACCGGAGUGAACGCACCACUGGUGUUCGGGUUGUCAUGCCAAUGGCAUUGCCCGGUAGCUAAGUGCGGAAGAGAUAACCGCUGAAAGCAUCUAAGCGGGAAACUUGCCUCGAGAUGAGUCUUCCCUGUCACUUUAAGUGACCUAAAGGAACGUUUAAGACUAAGACGUUGAUAGGCUGGGUGUGUAAGCGUAGCGAUACGUUGAGCUAACCAGUACUAAUGAACCGUGAGGCUUAACCUG